GCUUCGUUAGCGUAGUUGGAUUAUCGCAUCCGUCUAAUACACACGGUGCCUCAGUUUACUGAGUCGAGAAUAUUACUUCAACGGAAGGUCACUGGUUCGAGCCCAGUACGGAGCA
This is a non-coding RNA of Pseudozyma hubeiensis SY62, 115 nucleotides long. The record is from the annotation of a RefSeq genome assembly. NCBI's taxonomy places the organism in Eukaryota, Fungi, Basidiomycota, Ustilaginomycetes, Ustilaginales, Ustilaginaceae.